This is a long non-coding RNA of Tachyglossus aculeatus (Australian echidna), 358 nucleotides long. RefSeq lists it as uncharacterized. The transcript is spliced from 3 exons. The record is from RefSeq and is a predicted model, not a curated record. Lineage: Eukaryota; Metazoa; Chordata; Mammalia; Monotremata; Tachyglossidae.
GAGGCUCGGGGAGAGGACGGGAGCCGCGGGACCGGUUUUCCGAGAAGCCUAAGGGAAACCACCAAGGCAGAAACUCCAAUAUUGCCCAACUCAAGUUUAGUGGCAAGAACAACAAGCUUCUGAGAGUUGUCUUUAAAACGGCAAUUGAUAAGGAAAAGUUGUUCUACCUCUGAAUUCCAAGGGAGAUGAACUGAGCCUUCCACGAAUAAUGAGAAAAGUUGUGCCAUUUCCAAUAAAAGACUGGCCUCUGCACAAGGUGCUCUGCAUACAGUAAGCAUUUAAUAAAUACAACUGAGUGAAUGAAUAGUCUGUCUUCUCAAUGAUCCGGUCUCCCGCCAGAGCACCAACUGUGAAAUGG